UGGGGAAUAUUGCACAAUGGGCGCAAGCCUGAUGCAGCCAUGCCGCGUGUGUGAAGAAGGCCUUCGGGUUGUAAAGCACUUUCAGCGAGGAGGAAGGUGGUGAGCUUAAUACGCUCAUCAAUUGACGUUACUCGCAGAAGAAGCACCGGCUAACUCCGUGCCAGCAGCCGCGGUAAUACGGAGGGUGCAAGCGUUAAUCGGAAUUACUGGGCGUAAAGCGCACGCAGGCGGUUUGUUAAGUCAGAUGUGAAAUCCCCGGGCUCAACCUGGGAACUGCAUUUGAAACUGGCAAGCUAGAGUCUCGUAGAGGGGGGUAGAAUUCCAGGUGUAGCGGUGAAAUGCGUAGAGAUCUGGAGGAAUACCGGUGGCGAAGGCGGCCCCCCUGGACGAAGACUGACGCUCAGGUGCGAAAGCGUGGGGCAGCAAACAGGAUUAGAUACCCUGGUAGUCCACGCUGUAAAACGAUGUCGAUUUGGAGGUUGUGCCCUUGAGGCGUGGCUUCCGGAGCUAACGCGUUAAAUCGACCGCCUGGGGAGUACGGCCGCAAGGUUAAAACUCAAAUGAAUUG
Molecule: ribosomal RNA, 568 nt
Filed under: uncultured bacterium
Lineage: Bacteria
Description: partial 16S ribosomal RNA
Rfam family: Bacterial small subunit ribosomal RNA
Source: RNAcentral